CAGUGGGCUGAAAUUGCAUAAUAAGAAAGCCAUUCGCCCUUCAUCAAGUUACUUCCUAUGACUUAUGCCAACAGGGCACUGCAUCUACUCCUUCUGCUAGCGAGUAUGAAUAAAGCCCCUCUCGGCCCAAAGUCUCAUGCGAUCAAGUCACCCAUGCACAGCACUGGGCAGGACCGAUGCUGCUCCCAACUUCACGCAGUGAGCAU
This 206-nucleotide long non-coding RNA is filed under the name Homo sapiens (human). RNAcentral's name for it is "HSALNT0247068". Lineage: Eukaryota; Metazoa; Chordata; Mammalia; Primates; Hominidae. The record is from RNAcentral.